This is a long non-coding RNA of Pistacia vera, 921 nucleotides long. RefSeq lists it as uncharacterized. Lineage: Eukaryota; Viridiplantae; Streptophyta; Magnoliopsida; Sapindales; Anacardiaceae. The transcript has 5 exons. The record is from RefSeq and is a predicted model, not a curated record.
ACUGACUUCAAGAUUUUAAUUUCAAAAUCUCCCUCGAACUCUCUCGGGACUCGGGAGCGCAUUCUCUCUUUCGCCAUUUUCUUCCGUGGGCUGUGGCGAAAGCGAAAUAAGGCGAGCUAAACGAAACAAGCGAAGCAAGCAGCAAGAGAAGAUCGGUAGUAGAAGGUAACGAAAUAGAGACUUAGAGAGACAUCAGAAGCGAAAUUCGGCGAUAAUAAGAUCAGGUUCCCGUGAGGCUGAUCUGAGAGGAGUAUGAUUAACAAUUGCUUAAGAGUUAUGGAUAUGGAGAGGCUUGAUUGAUUAAGCUCAUACAGGAUGGCUGACAAUUAAAGGAUUUAGCCGCAAACUUUUCCAGCACUGAGACUGACACUGAUGACUUUGUGGCAGUCCUGGACGAGUUGUUGGACGGUGAAGCAAAGAAAAGGGCAAAAAAGUUCCACUCAUGGGAACCAAUGAAUGUGUUGAAGAGGCAUGUAUGUAGAGAUGAAGGAUCUUUCGAAGGCACGUGUUGUGUUUGUGGGCAGAGGUUGGAAAAGGAUUUGGGUGUGCCAUUGGGGUAUGUACACAAGGGUCUAAGGCUUGGAAACAAUUGUAAUUGUAGGGUCUAAGGCUUGGAAACAAUGAUGUCGUUAGAUUGCGAACCCAGGACAUGAAAAAUUUAUCACGAAAUGAAAAAGCUUUACUUGGUACUCGACCUUGAUCAUACACUGCUCAAUUCAACUGAGAUAAUUCGUUUGACUCCACAGGAGGAAUAUCUGAAGAUUCAAACACAUCCUCUGCAGGGUAUGUGAUUGUUGCCUAUCUCUGUGGUUGGCUUGCUUGGAAAUUGUUUUCUUGCUUUUAUGUCAUUGUUUUGUCGAUAUUUGGCUGAGUGCUAGUGUACUUUUAUUUUUCUUUUGUAGUUCAUAUCUUGAAUGCCAA